CCGAGGCAGGGCCACGCGACG
Molecule: unclassified non-coding RNA, 21 nt
Filed under: Chlamydomonas reinhardtii
Lineage: Eukaryota; Viridiplantae; Chlorophyta; Chlorophyceae; Chlamydomonadales; Chlamydomonadaceae
Description: small RNA Cre_1086
Source: RNAcentral